AAGAGAUUAGUUUUAAAAAAAAUUUUAAUUUGUCAAAUUAAAGAUGUUAUAUUCAUCUCUUU
RNAcentral lists this transfer RNA (62 nucleotides) under Leptobelus gazella. RNAcentral's name for it is "tRNA-Asp". The record is from RNAcentral. Lineage: Eukaryota; Metazoa; Arthropoda; Insecta; Hemiptera; Membracidae.